This 584-nucleotide ribosomal RNA is filed under the name Lysobacteraceae bacterium E78. Its description in RNAcentral is "bacterial SSU rRNA". It matches the Rfam family "Bacterial small subunit ribosomal RNA", at positions 26 to 605 of the family's 1533-position model. Lineage: Bacteria; Pseudomonadati; Pseudomonadota; Gammaproteobacteria; Lysobacterales; Lysobacteraceae. The record is from RNAcentral.
GAUGACGCUUCCUCUGCCUAAACAUGCAAGUCGAACGGCAGCACAGCAGUAGCAAUACUGUGGGUGGCGAGUGGCGGACGGGUGAGUAAUGCAUCGGGAUCUACCCAAACGUGGGGGAUAACGUAGGGAAACUUACGCUAAUACCGCAUACGUCCCAUGGGAGAAAGCGGGGGCUCGCAAGACCUCGCGCGGUUGGACGAACCGAUGUGCGAUUAGCUAGUUGGUAGGGUAAUGGCCUACCAAGGCGACGAUCGCUAGCUGGUCUGAGAGGAUGAUCAGCCACACUGGGACUGAGACACGGCCCAGACUCCUACGGGAGGCAGCAGUGGGGAAUAUUGGACAAUGGGCGCAAGCCUGAUCCAGCAAUGCCGCGUGUGUGAAGAAGGCCUUCGGGUUGUAAAGCACUUUUAUCAGGAGCGAAAUGCCAUGGGCUAAUACCCCGUGGAGCUGACGGUACCUGAGGAAUAAGCACCGGCUAACUUCGUGCCAGCAGCCGCGGUAAUACGAAGGGUGCAAGCGUUAAUCGGAAUUACUGGGCGUAAAGGGUGCGUAGGCGGUUCGUUAAGUCUGUCGUGAAAUCCCCG